This 500-nucleotide ribosomal RNA is filed under the name uncultured bacterium. RNAcentral's name for it is "partial 16S ribosomal RNA". It matches the Rfam family "Bacterial small subunit ribosomal RNA", at positions 30 to 523 of the family's 1533-position model. The record is from RNAcentral.
AUUGAACGCUGGCGGCAUGCCUUACACAUGCAAGUCGAACGGUAACGGGUCCUUCGGGAUGCCGACGAGUGGCGAACGGGUGAGUAAUAUAUCGGAACGUGCCCAGUAGUGGGGGAUAACUGCUCGAGAGAGCAGCUAAUACCGCAUACGACCUGAGGGUGAAAGGGGGGGAUCGCAAGACCUCUCGCUAUUGGAGCGGCCGAUAUCAGAUUAGCUAGUUGGUGGGGUAAAGGCCUACCAAGGCAACGAUCUGUAGUUGGUCUGAGAGGACGACCAGCCACACUGGGACUGAGACACGGCGCAGACUCCUACGGGAGGCAGCAGUGGGGAAUUGUGGACAAUGGGCGCAAGCCUGAUCCAGCAAUGCCGCGUGCAGGAAGAAGGCCUUCGGGUUGUAAACUGCUUUUGUCAGGGAAGAAAUCUUCUGGGCUAAUACCCCGGGAGGAUGACGGUACCUGAAGAAUAAGCACCGGCUAACUACGUGCCAGCCGCCGCCGUAA